RNAcentral lists this long non-coding RNA (1083 nucleotides) under Nicotiana benthamiana. RNAcentral describes it as "long non-coding RNA (NBEN_LNC017875)". The record is from RNAcentral. Lineage: Eukaryota; Viridiplantae; Streptophyta; Magnoliopsida; Solanales; Solanaceae.
GAGUUUUACUGCUAUCCGGUGGCUCGAUUCUCACUCAGUGGAUGUUUUGGGUGUCUUUCCGACAUCCCUGACCACAUUUCCAGUAAGGAUUUCGACGGUUACACCUAGGGUUUUGUACCUAGGGUUUUCUCUAUUGUUUGAAAGCCGAUCUUCUCCGGUCGCGAAGAAGGAGGGUAACUCUGUCCUUAUCUUGAGUAGUGUAUGCUUUGUGUGUGAUUAUCUGACUCUGUAUGUGAGUAUCUGGUGUUGUGUGUGAAUACCUGAUUUGGUUAUACUUUGUUUGUUGAAAAACUAUUUUUUUAGCCGGUUCAUUGAUUAUGGCUUCUAACACAAAUGCUGGUACUCCUCCUCUGUAGACUCUUUUAGUGUUUUGUGUGAAUACCUGAUUUGGUUAUACUCUGUUUGUUGAAAAACUGUUUUUUAAGCCGGUUCAUUGAUUAUGCCUUCUAACACAAAUGCUGGUACCUCCUCCUCUGUAGACUCUUCUAGCCCCCUUUUUGUAUAUUCUUCUGAUGUCCCUGGGGUUUCUCUUGUUCCCACUCCCUUCUCGGGUAGUGGUUAUGGGGGCUGGAGGCGUAAGAUGGUUGUUGUUUUAUCCGCUAAAAAUAAAAUCGAUUUUGUUGACGGUUCGUGUCCUCGUCCUGCCACUAAUGUGGCUCAACAGAGACUGUGGGACAGAUGUAAUAACAUGGUCAUUUCCUGGUUGACCUCCUCUCUGUCUCCUCAAAUUGCUGAUAGUGUGCAGUAUUCCGAUACUGCACAGAGUAUAUGGUCCCAAAUUGAGAAAAGAUAUGGUACCCCUAACAGGACCAAUAUUUUUGAAUUAAAAAGGGAACUUUCCCACACAUCUCAAGGCUCCUUAGACAUAGCCUCAUACUUCAACAAGCUCAAAGGCUUGUGGGAGAAUUUUUGAAUUAAAAAGGGAACUUUCCACACAUCUCAAGGCUCCUUAGAUGUAUCCUCAUACUUUAACAAGCUCAAAGGCUUGUGGGAUGAAUUGGGCACAAUGUGCACAAAUCAUGGGCAGAGAUGUGUGUGUGCUGCCAAAAAUGAAAUACUUGAGGAAGAUGAUGAAAACAAGGU